AUUGAACGCUGGCGGCAGGCCUAACACAUGCAAGUCGAACGAGUGGCGGACGGGUGACUAUUGUCUGGGAAACUGCCUGAUGGACGGGGCUAACUAUUGGAAACGGUAGCUAAUCCCGCAUACCAUCAGAUGUGCCUAGAUGGGAUUAGCUAGUUGGUGGGGUAACGGCGCACCAAGGCGCCGAUCCCUAGCUGGUCUGAGAGGAUGCCCAGCCACACUGGAACUGAGACACGGUCCAGACUCCUACGGGAGGCAGCAGUGGGGAAGAUUUGACAAUGGGCGCAAGACUGAUGGAGCCAUGCAGCGUGUAUGAAGAAGGCCUUCGGGUUGUAAAGUACUUUCAGCGGGGAGGCGUUACCCGCAGAAGAAGCACCGGCUAACUCCGUGCCAGCAGCCGCGGUAAUAC
RNAcentral lists this ribosomal RNA (406 nucleotides) under uncultured bacterium. RNAcentral describes it as "partial 16S ribosomal RNA". It matches the Rfam family "Bacterial small subunit ribosomal RNA", at positions 30 to 526 of the family's 1533-position model. The record is from RNAcentral.